AUACGGAGGGUGCAAGCGUUAAUCGGAUUUACUGGGCGUAAAGGGCUCGUAGGCGGCCACUUAAGUCGGUUGUGAAAUCCCUCGGCUCAACCGGGGAACUGCGACCGAAACUGGGUGGCUUGAAGCCGGGAGAGGGAUGCGGAAUUCCAGGUGUAGCGGUGAAAUGCGUAGAUAUCUGGAGGAACACCCGUGGCGAAGGCGGCAUCCUGGACCGGUCUUGACGCUGAGGAGCGAAAGCUAGGGUAGCAAACGGGAUUAGAAACCCCAGUAGUCC
RNAcentral lists this ribosomal RNA (274 nucleotides) under uncultured bacterium. RNAcentral's name for it is "partial 16S ribosomal RNA". It matches the Rfam family "Bacterial small subunit ribosomal RNA", at positions 523 to 796 of the family's 1533-position model. The record is from RNAcentral.